Molecule: RNA transcript, 7592 nt
Organism: Cygnus atratus (black swan)
Lineage: Eukaryota; Metazoa; Chordata; Aves; Anseriformes; Anatidae
Gene: LRRC8A
Gene name: leucine rich repeat containing 8 VRAC subunit A
Exons: 5
Source: RefSeq, a predicted model, not a curated record
CGGUGCGGUCAGGGCCGAACAAAAGGAGCCGGAACCGGCGUGAGGGAGGGAGGGGAACGGGACGGACGGGACGGCCGGGCCAGGGAAGCUGUUCCCAUGGCGUGUGGGGAAUGCAACGCUUCAGCACCUGCUCAGGAUCCAGCACGCAGGAACAUCAUCCACUUCCAGCACAGAGAACUGAAGUGCAGAUAGCAGAACCCAGCUGCAGGGUGAAUCAUGAUUCCAGUCACUGAGUUGCGAUACUUUGCUGACACGCAGCCAGCAUACCGCAUCCUGAAGCCAUGGUGGGACGUCUUCACGGACUACAUUUCCAUAGUAAUGCUGAUGAUCGCAGUGUUUGGAGGGACACUUCAGGUCACCCAGGACAAAAUGAUUUGUUUGCCUUGUAAAUGGGUUACCAAAGACUCCUGCAAUGACUCUGUCAGAGGCUGGACAGCCGCAACCCCGGAGCGCACCUACUAUAACUCCAGUCUUGUUCCCUCUGCUGAUACAGGGCCGACGGGGAUCCGGUAUGAUUUGGACCGGCACCAGUAUAACUACGUGGAUGCGGUGUGUUAUGAAAACCGCCUUCACUGGUUUGCCAAGUAUUUUCCUUAUCUGGUGCUGCUGCAUACUCUCAUCUUCCUGGCUUGUAGCAAUUUCUGGUUCAAAUUCCCACGGACCAGCUCCAAGCUGGAGCACUUUGUGUCUAUUUUGCUUAAGUGUUUUGACUCUCCAUGGACAACGAGGGCAUUAUCUGAGACGGUGGUGGAAGAGAGUGAUACCAAGCCAGCAUUUGGGAAAAUGAAUGGCUCCAUGGACAAGAAAUCCUCCACAGUCAGUGAGGAUGUGGAAGCCACUGUUCCCAUGCUGCAGAGAACAAAGUCUCGAAUUGAGCAAGGGAUCGUGGACCGGUCUGAGACGGGAGUCUUAGACAAAAAGGAAGGUGAACAGGCCAAAGCACUUUUUGAAAAAGUGAAAAAGUUCCGUACACAUGUGGAAGAGGGCGAUAUAGUGUACCGCCUCUACAUGAGACAGACCAUCAUCAAAGUAAUCAAGUUCAUCCUGAUCAUCUGCUAUACCGUUUACUAUGUCAACAACAUAACGUUCGAUGUUGACUGUAAAGUGGACAUUGAGAGCUUGACUGGCUACAGGAUGUACCGCUGUGCUCAUCCUUUGGCCACUCUCUUCAAAAUCUUGGCGUCUUUCUACAUCAGUUUGGUGAUAGUCUAUGGCUUGAUCUGCAUGUACACGCUCUGGUGGAUGCUGAGGCGAUCGCUCAAGAAGUACUCCUUCGAGUCUAUCCGGGAGGAGAGCAGCUACAGCGACAUUCCUGACGUGAAAAAUGACUUUGCUUUUAUGCUCCAUCUGAUUGACCAGUAUGACCCCCUGUACUCAAAGCGCUUUGCUGUCUUUCUGUCGGAGGUAAGUGAGAACAAACUGCGGCAGCUGAACCUCAACAAUGAGUGGACUCUGGAGAAGCUGCGCCAGAGGAUCACCAAGAACUCCCAGGACAAGCUGGAACUGCAUCUGUUCAUGCUGAGUGGCAUUCCUGACACAGUUUUUGACCUCGUUGAGCUGGAGGUCUUGAAGUUGGAGCUUAUCCCUGAUGUCACUAUUCCCCCAAGCAUCGCCCAGCUCACCAGCCUUAAGGAACUAUGGCUCUACCACACCGCUGCCAAAAUUGAGGCUCCAGCCCUUGCCUUCUUGAGGGAGAACUUGAAGUCUCUGCACAUCAAGUUCACAGACAUCAAGGAGAUUCCUCUUUGGAUUUACAGCCUGAAGACACUAGAGGAGCUUCAUCUGACGGGGAAUCUGAGCGCUGAGAACAACCGGUACAUCGUAAUAGAUGGACUGAGGGAGCUGAAGAGGCUGAAGGUGUUGAGGUUGAAGAGUAACCUCACCAAGCUGCCACAGGUGGUGACGGAUGUUGGCGUGCAUCUUCAGAAGCUUUCCAUCAACAACGAGGGCACCAAGCUCAUUGUUCUCAACAGCCUUAAGAAGAUGGUCAACCUGACAGAGCUCGAGCUGAUCCGUUGUGACUUAGAACGCAUUCCUCACUCCAUCUUUAGCCUCCACAAUCUACAGGAGAUAGACCUGAAGGACAAUAACCUCAAGACCAUUGAGGAAAUCAUCAGCUUCCAGCACUUACAUCGUCUCACUUGCCUUAAAUUGUGGUACAACCACAUUGCCUACAUCCCCAUGCAAAUAGGCAACCUCACCAACUUAGAGCGCCUUUACCUGAAUCGGAACAAGAUAGAAAAGAUCCCUACCCAGCUCUUCUAUUGCCGAAAACUUCGGUAUUUGGAUCUCAGCCACAACAACUUGACUUCCAUACCGCCGGACAUAGGACUCCUCCAAAAUCUGCAGAACCUGGCUGUGACAGCCAACAGGAUUGAGAGUCUACCACCAGAGCUGUUCCAGUGCAGGAAGCUGAGAACCUUGAACCUGGGAAACAAUGUGCUGCAGUCCCUCCCCUCCCGGGUUGGAGAGCUGACAAAUCUCUCACAGAUCGAGCUGCGGGGGAACCGCUUGGAGUGCCUGCCAGUGGAGCUGGGAGAGUGUCCUCUGCUGAAACGUAGCGGGCUGGUGGUGGAGGAGGACUUGUUCAACACGCUGCCCUUGGAAGUCAAAGAGCGGCUGUGGAGGGCAGACAAAGAACAAGCCUGAGCCCCUGAAAGAAGGGGGAAAAGCUCCGACCAGCUAGAAGGAAACACAAGGCCAUUCCAGUCCCCCUUUUCCCAGAUCCUCCCCUUCCUCCCCUCCAAUCACUAUCAGACUAGCCAAGGAGUCCCUGAACAAUCAUGACUCUGACUGAGGCUGCUUCUUGCCUCAGACGCAGGAUGGGGAAAGCUUGGGAUCAGGAUGAGGAUCAAGGCAGGUUAGAUGGCUUCUGAGCAAGGGCCGGUGGGAUAAGAGGUGUUGCUGCUCUUCUGGACAGGAGGUGGGGUGAGGUGGAUGGUGCUGGUGAGAAGAAAUGACCUUUGAAUGAAGGAGAACAGGAAACAAGGGGAUUGCUGCACUGCCUCAAAUGGGGAUUUUGUGUGUCAGGGACUGAGAGUGUCCAGUGUCCUGCAAGCAAGAAUCAAGAGCCUAGGAAACCUCCUGAACCUCCAUCUCUGUGACACCUGGUACAGUUUCCAGCUCAGCAAUUCACGCUGCUGAGCUGAAUGAAUUCUUGGAGCCCCUGUUGAUCACAAGCAUGAUCAUCCCAUGCUAGGACUGAAGGUUAGUAAAAUGGAAUUCUACCUUUCCGGCUAAAUACCCCAAAAAGUAGUAAGUUGCAACUAAUUUUUUGAACUAACUGUAAGGCAAGGGAUACCAAACCCAUUAAAUAUGUUAAAACUCGCUGUAUCUCUGAAACUAUGCACUGGAAUGUAAGUUGAAGCUUUUCUUUAAGAUUGAUUUCUGAAUUUACUAUUUGGUCUCUAGCUAAUUCAGCAGCUGAAAUUAAUUUCCUCUGCUGGUCUGAAUGGUUAAACAGAAGCCCAAUACAAGCUGUUACUGGUAUCUUUCAUGAUGUGGUGUUCUUUGGUAUUAAUUGUCACUUCCGGAGAAUGUCCUACCUCAUUUUUUAUUUUUUUUACCAUUUAUACGCUCCAUUUAGCUCGGUUCGUUUUAAUUAAAGCAAGUUCUUGGUGUUCAGUACCAUAAAUAGUAUUAAGUGGCUUUCUGUUGCUGAACCACACCGUGGGUCCUCUUCUUUUGCUCUAAGAAAUGAUUCUAGGAAUUUCAGAACAACAUCGCAUCCUUUUCAGGGGAUGUUGUAUAUGGGGAGGAAAAAAAGCUUGAAUGUUGUUGAUUCAACAGCUGUGACAUCGUUUCCCUUCCUUACCUUUUUUCCUCUUUGGAAAGGGACUCGCAUGGUUUGAAUUCUCUGGAUUUUUUUCUUCAGCCCUUCAGGGGAGGAAUAGUUUUUUCAUUGAGAGCUGUGCCUUCUCCAGACAUUAAGGUAACUUCUCCACUGAGGCACUUGCUUCUUCUAGAGUAUUUCCAAUUGUUUCUGCCUGAAGCCAGCUCUUCCCUCUGAUUCUUUUCCUUUCAAAUGUGGAGAGCACGGAGAGAUUUAAGUGUCAGCAUGACUUUUCUCACUGAAGAACCAUCUUGUCAUACCAUAAACAGUAGCACCAUCUACUCUGAAAUGUUACCAAAGGUAAGGCUGUGUCAGUGCUAAAUACUAAAGCUCUCAUUUAAGUUUCACUUUGAUUUAUUUUCCUCCUCAUUGCAUCUUUUUUUGACUGCUGUUUGGCCACACAGCAGAUCCUGUACUCUUAAUAAGCAUGUGCCAAAACAGAACGGAUUUUGUCCUAUCUGCAUUGUGACAGUGCAUGAGGCAGAACUGGAAUUGGACAAAGGUAUUGUUGGUCUCAAACCUUUCUCUAUCUCCAUUGCUCCAGCUGCAGUGACAGGUUAAUACUAACUGCUUUGGAAGCAUAAAAUCCUCCAGAGGUCUUGUCUGAAAUCCCUUUUCAAAAGUAACUGCACUUGAAUUGAUGGACUCCAACAACUAAGAUUAACUUUAUGUGAAAUUGGACAAAGGCUUAAUUUGGAAUUUCUGGAAAUACCCUUCUAUUCCUCUGUCUCCUUUAAAGGAAGUUUAUUGAACAAUGGGAAAAUUUUUUCAACUUAAUGAGAAGGGGGCUAAUUGGCCUGAGUCAUCUUUAAAGCUGACAAACGCAUCCAUUUAAGUAAGACACUACUCAUGGCUUAAACAUUGCUCACUCCCAUUUUGUAGUUGUGCUCGCAGGGUUGUGGUUUGGCAUCCAAGACCUGCAACUUGGUGUAACAUUUUGGAAUCAUGGCAUUCACUUUGUACGUGGGAUUGUUUGGGCAGCUGAUCAACAGCACCUCCACCUUAAGCACUGAAGGCUGCUAUUGUUUUCUCUGAAAGACUUGUAAGACUGGACACUUUAACAGAAUAAAAAAUUGAAUUUUUAAUUUGCAUUUUCCUUUUAUGUCUGUUUUCUUUGGUUUCCUGUAUGCAAAGGCACUUAGUCUCUGACAAUCUCACUCUUCAGAAGACAGAUGUUAAUAAUUCUAGCUAUUGUGUAGAAUUAUUGUAUUUUUACUCAUCGCUUGAGCUCCUGUGGAUUACAGCACUUUAUGAAUAAGAAAGUAGAUGUGCGGUGAAAGAUUCUGUUCAGUGGCAAGCCUGGACUGCCUUACACAUUUCGCCAUCACUUUAAGAAAUGGCUGAAACAACUUACAUUGCCAAAUACAGAUUGUUGGAGGAUUGUCUGCUUGGACCUGUAGAAACGUGGCUUUUCAGAAUGCAGCUUGUGCUCUCCUUCCCCAGGAGAAAGGUAGGCACUGAAGGCGAUGGAGAAAACUUGCAGUUGCCAUAGAAGUGGUGCCUUCAGCCAGCUACUGGUAACAAACAGUUUGUGUUUCCUAGCUGUCUGCCUACCCCAUGCACUACUUUUUCUUCCUUUCACCUGGAAAAUGCUGACAGGUAACCUCUCCUAAUUGAGCAUCUUCACGAUGUGUUACAGAGAAUCAGCCUGUAACUUUCAAAGACAGCUUUAGUUUCUGUGCAGCUUCUUUAUGGCAUAGAAAGAUGCUUCUUGUCUUUUGUCUUCCCCUGCUUCCUUUGUCUGCGGCUGCUUGACCACAGUGCCAUUAGACCCACUUCAGCAGGCUGUGAAGGGUGCUAGUCUGUAAUGCCAGUUAUUGGCAUGGAGUCUUAAAGAAAUGUCGCUAGGACGGAACUAAGAAAGGAGAGGACAAAAUGCCUCUUGUCAUCUAAGGCUCUCUUGGAAUGAAGCUGCUUUUGGCAAGUGUUCAGCCCUCUGAAUAGCUGAGCAAAAGGAAUGAAUGGAAGGUGCCAUCAGAGAACUGAUGCUUGCUGGAUUCCUGGGAGACUGUAGUAAAGGGAUGGGGAAAGAGCCUGAAGGUAAAUAACUGAUGUCUUUGCUAGAAAAAGCACUUUUAAUCCAGAUAAUUCCCAACUUUCUCUGUAGCUCACUAAAGCAUAGUGUGGGGAUGCAGUAGAGGUAGUUGGAGCUCUCUUAGCUUUGUUCAGGUACACUUCUCUAGCCCUGCCACACCGUAAGCUUUUUACCUACUGAUUUUUGAAGAAAGAAAUUAUCUUGCUUGUACCUGUGGAUGACUGAGAAUUCUCUUGAUGGAAAAUUCCUCUGUUCCUGAGGCUUCUGGUAGCUUGAGAGAAGUGGGGACUGUCAACGGAGGGAAAACAGUAGUAGUCCAGUAUUGAUGACAUCUUAAAUAUAUACUAAUAGGCUACUUAAUGCAAUUUAAUCACUAUCUUUGUUCCUGCGCUCCUUGUUUCUCAUGAAACACUCUAUCAUUGAUCAUACUGAAGACUUCAGGAGAGAGAGGAGAUCCAGCUGAAAUUGCUGCCUACCUACCAGUCCCGGCAGCUCCAGCAGCAGCAACCUUGGUGAGAGCGCCAAGCUGUGGGGAGCUGGUGACCUAGCUCGGCUCCAGGUGGUAUCAGUAGGAACUCAAAUCAAGGAAGAAAGUGGGGUAACUGCACUGGGCAGGAUGGCAUUUGAAACACUCAUGCUUUGUCUGCUGCAGGGUUGUUCACGUCCCAGAUGCCGCUCGCUCCUGUACCUGUCUCGCAGCAGGGGCUGGGCUCUGGCAGUCUCCCAGGAGUUUGCCAGAAAUGCAUUUUUUUUGCCAGAAAUGCAGUUUUCUUGCAGAGCUGGCAGGAGAAAGUGUUAACAGCCUGCACGGAGCUCUUGGAGGGGGAGGAAAGGAAGGAAAGAGGGGUCACUUCCCAGUUUUGUCCGAGUGCUUUCUACCUUCCUUAUUUAAACUUACUGGAGGAGGAGAUAUUUACAAAGAUUACGUCCUUCUCUUUGCCUCCUUUUAGGCAUUACGUAGGGGUGGUGGUUUUCCUCUUGCUGAAAAUGUCUUCCUGAGCCUCAAAAUAGGAGCAUGUCUGGAAUGGCAAAGGGCUGGAGGACUCCUGAGAGGUUCCUGUAAGUCGGAUGGUUGUCUCUUGUUUGUGCACUCGCUGGGCUGUGAUCUGCUGCUCGUGGUGCUUGUUUACAACACUUUCCAUAAACAAACCAGGAAAGCUGUGGUUUCCCACUGUGCGUAUGACCUCCAAUGAAUUCUGAAGUCAUUGAGUGUGCGUAAUGCGGGGAGUGGAGGAGAUGACGUGCUAAAUUGCUGAAAUAUAUUACUGGGAAUGACGAGUGACGUUGUGAAUGACCCACGUAACACAGAAGGACUGAGGAACAGUAUGGGAGUGUGGUCUGUUUUGUUUUUUUAAUAUUUAUCAGGAUUGCUACCUUCCAAGCAGGGCUACUCAUGAGUGGAGGGGUAGGUCCUCGUAAGAUUGCCUUACAGGCAAUAGCUACAGCAGGGUGUCUUUAUUUUUUUCCCCUUGCUGGUUACCCAGCUUUCUUGAACAGUUCAGCUUUGCUGUCUGGAGAAACUCUCCUAAGAGGGGGGAACUACCUGAUUAUUCUUUGAAUUUUGCCAUGCUGGGGGUUGUUUCCCCUCCACCUUUAUAGCCCAGUAAUUAAAUUCUCCUGUGAAAUUUAGCUUUAAGUACCAAACUGAUGUCCUGUUGAGUGCGGAGAAAAGCUUGUUAAUGCUCAAAAUGAGAUGUUCUCUAGUGAAAACACUUAAUUUGCUUU